Molecule: ribosomal RNA, 253 nt
Filed under: uncultured bacterium
Lineage: Bacteria
Description: partial 16S ribosomal RNA
Rfam family: Bacterial small subunit ribosomal RNA
Source: RNAcentral
UACAGAGGGUGCAAACGUUGCUCGGAAUCAUUGGGCGUAAAGCGCACGUAGGCGGCCUAGCAAGUAGGGAGUGAAAGCCCUCGGCUUAACCGAGGAAGUGCUUUCUAAACUACUAGGCUUGAGUACUGAAGAGGAUCGCGGAAUUCCCGGUGUAGAGGUGAAAUUCGUAGAUAUCGGGAGGAACACCAGUGGCGAAGGCGGCGAUCUGGGCAGAUACUGACGCUGAGGUGCGAAAGCGUGGGGAGCAAACAGG